GAAAUGCGAUAAGUAAUGUGAAUUGCAGAAUUCAGUGAAUCAUCGAAUCUUUGAACGCACCUUGCGCUCCUUGGUAUUCCGAGGAGCAUGCCUGUUUGAGUGUCAUGGAAUUCUCAACCCAUAGAUCCUUGUGGUCUACGGGCUUGGAUUUGGAGGCUUGCCGGCCCUUACACGGGGUCGGCUCCUCUUGAAUGCAUUAGCUUGAUUCCGUGCGAAUCGGCUCUCAGUGUGAUAAUUGUCUACGCUGUGGCCGUGAAGCGUUUGGCGAGCUUCUAACCGUCCGUUAGGACAACUUCUUGACAUCUGACCUCAAAUCAGGUAGGACUACCCGCUGAACUUAA
Molecule: unclassified non-coding RNA, 341 nt
Filed under: uncultured Agaricomycetes
Lineage: Eukaryota; Fungi; Basidiomycota; Agaricomycetes
Description: sequence contains ITS1
Rfam family: 5.8S ribosomal RNA (bases 1-105)
Source: RNAcentral